Monomorium pharaonis (pharaoh ant) is the source of this 900-nucleotide long non-coding RNA. RefSeq lists it as uncharacterized. The record is from RefSeq and is a predicted model, not a curated record. The transcript is spliced from 2 exons. NCBI's taxonomy places the organism in Eukaryota, Metazoa, Arthropoda, Insecta, Hymenoptera, Formicidae.
AACUUCUGCUUGGUACUAUUUGAAAAAAUAUUUAUUUCAAUUUAGUAAAUUUCUUUUUCAGUGUAAACAUUUAUCUAAAUUAUUUCUUCUACAAAUAAGGAGAACGAGAUAAAUUCGAACGUAAUGCGAGCUUGUUAUCUAAGCGGAGAUUAACUCGCGAGUGCACGAUAAAGCGUACUGAGGCAUAUGAGUUUGACGCAUACUUGCGGCUGACACAUUACCACACAUAACAACAUCGGUCUUCAGGUUGGAUAUGCAUACACAUAUGGUAGCCUCUUAUCACGUUAUCAGGCGCACAGCUAUGUCGCUGCUAAUGGAAACACACGCAAUGCAUCCAUUCAUGACGAGCAACAAAAAAUAGAAUUCAAUUACAAAAAGAUAUAUAUCUAAAAUCGAAAAUGCUGAAGACGAGAUAUACUUUAUCUUUUAUGAAAAUAACGUUUUCCCCGUGAACGACAGGUCUUCCAGAACUAUCUAUGUCACGAACGUAUGAAGUGUGUAAUAGAGUAAAGAGUUUGAUAAUAUCUGCAAAAUGUUGAGUAAAAUAAGCAUUCAGCUAAUAAAACCGGAAACAAUUUUUCUUUUAAAUAAAUAGCAUUUAUCAAACGAUUUAUUAUAAUAUUAUUAUAUUUGGUAAAUGUAUUGGAAAAAGUAAAAUUAUUUUUAGUGAUACUAAUCGGAUAUUUAAUUGACAUUAUCUCGCACAACGUUUGGCAGCAACAAACUCAUUUUUUAAUGGCACAGAAUAAAUAUAUUUUACUCGGAGACGUUUGCCUCAAGACACGCGAUUUCGUUGAUUUCAAGGUCUCGAAAAAAUUUGUUUUUGUGAAUCAAAAAUAAGUAUAUCAAUCUCUCACGCAAAUGUGAACGAUCGGUUUGUUAGGAAAAAAAAAAAAAAAA